GGUCAAAUCAUCAUGCCUCUUACAUCUAGGGCUACAGGCGUGCUACAAUGGCCGGUACAACGAGUCGCAACACGGCAACGUGAAGCUAAUCUCUUAAAGCCGGUCCCAGUCCGGAUUGUCCUCUGCAACUCGAGGGCAUGAAGUUGGAAUCGCUAGUAAUCCCGAAUCAGAAUGUCGGGGUGAAUACGUUCUCGGGUGUU
RNAcentral lists this ribosomal RNA (200 nucleotides) under uncultured prokaryote. Its description in RNAcentral is "partial 16S ribosomal RNA". It matches the Rfam family "Bacterial small subunit ribosomal RNA", at positions 1183 to 1382 of the family's 1533-position model. The record is from RNAcentral.